RNAcentral lists this ribosomal RNA (253 nucleotides) under uncultured bacterium. RNAcentral describes it as "partial 16S ribosomal RNA". It matches the Rfam family "Bacterial small subunit ribosomal RNA", at positions 524 to 776 of the family's 1533-position model. The record is from RNAcentral.
GACAGAGGUGCCAAGCGUUAGGCGGAAUCACUGGGCUUAAAGCGUGUGUAGGCGGACUUGUAAGUACCUUGUGAAAUCCCACGGCUCACCCGUGGAACUGCUGGGCAUACUGGCGAUCUUGGGCCAACUAGGGGCAGUCGGAACAAGCGGUGGAGCGGUGAAAUGCGUAGAUAUCGCUUGGAACGCCGAAGGUGAAAACAGACUGCUGGGGUUGCGCCGACGCUGAGACACGAAAGCCAGGGGAGCAAACGGG